Populus euphratica (Euphrates poplar) is the source of this 1066-nucleotide long non-coding RNA. RefSeq lists it as uncharacterized. The record is from RefSeq and is a predicted model, not a curated record. Lineage: Eukaryota; Viridiplantae; Streptophyta; Magnoliopsida; Malpighiales; Salicaceae. The transcript has 3 exons.
AAAAAGGAGCCGUUAGUUAGAUAAAAAGGACUGAAUGAUCCGAACCGAAAAGAAGAUCAUAUUAUAAUUUUAUACAUCCCGGUGGAUGAAUGAAUGUGAUUGGUGGGUGUGCUGCCUGCCCUUGUUUUCUAUUUGGUCCCCUUCCGAUCCCACCAUCUCACCACCACUAACUCCAAUUUCUUUCAUCUUUUAUCCUUAAUUAAUAACAGAAAAAUUCUCUUCCGAUGCAAAGUAAAACUAUCAGUGUGUGUAUUGAUGAUGCAAAGAAGGUUGGCAGGCAGAGCCACAAGUUUUUAUCUGCCUAUUCUAGCUUCUUCCCAACCGUUUAACUUGAACAUUCCCAGCAGAUUGUCCAUGGCAGCUGCACCAUGCUAUCUGAUCAGCGAAUACCCAGAAGAGAACCAGCUUUUAGAAAUCGACAGCCCUCCAUAAUUAAUGCAGCCAAUUCUUAUGCAAUCACACUAGCUGAUAUUUUCUUUCAUCGAGGUCGUGCAAAAUGCAUAGAUAUCUCAUCUUUAAUGCUGCUUCUGUUUCCUAUUCUGUGUAAAUCAGUUGCUUCGAUAAUGAGGAAAAUGUCUCUUGCCAAUAUCUGUUGAUGUGGAGUUCCACCAGAGGGAAAAGCGUCGUAUUAGUGUCAGGGAUAGGUUGGGAAAGCAAUGCGAUGGUGUAUCUUUGGGAAGCAAAACCGUUUGAGGUUUGUGGUAGUUCGGAUACAGUCUAUCAGAAGCAGGAAGAGCUUGACCAGCGCAAAAGAGUGCUUCCCGUUUUAAACAAUGAACUUAAAGGGGCAUGACUGAAGGAGUUCCUAGCUAGCAUUGAUAACAUCCAGCCUGAGAGCAGGAAAUAAUAAUAGACGAAACGGACACUUUGGCGAAAUUUGUACGGACCUUGAUGCUUUGGCCAGCGGUAAAGGGAAGGAGCUUCAGUGCCAAGACUUUUCACAAAAUUCCAAGAGGUUGAGCUUGUUCAAAGAAGAUUCUAAAGCUACUCCAUAUUUGGUUUUGGAAACAUUUGAUCAGUGUGUUGAAGCAUAAGGCCUUCGGUGUUGCGGAAAGUGAAACAGAAA